GAGGGUAUAGCUCAGUGGUAGAGUGCCCACUUGGCGUGCACAAGGUCCUGGGUUCAAUCCCCAGCACCUCCA
RNAcentral lists this transfer RNA (72 nucleotides) under Camelus bactrianus (Bactrian camel). It matches the Rfam family "tRNA". Rfam says of the family: Transfer RNA (tRNA) molecules are approximately 80 nucleotides in length. Their secondary structure includes four short double-helical elements and three loops (D, anti-codon, and T loops). RNAcentral also lists the same sequence under 3 other names. Lineage: Eukaryota; Metazoa; Chordata; Mammalia; Artiodactyla; Camelidae. The record is from Rfam by way of RNAcentral.